RNAcentral lists this unclassified non-coding RNA (341 nucleotides) under soil metagenome. Its description in RNAcentral is "partial contains 5.8S ribosomal RNA, internal transcribed spacer 2, and large subunit ribosomal RNA". The stretch from base 1 to 120 matches the Rfam family "5.8S ribosomal RNA", at positions 35 to 154 of the family's 154-position model. The record is from RNAcentral.
GAUGAAGAACGCAGCGAAAUGCGAUAAGUAGUGUGAAUUGCAGAAUUCAGUGAAUCAUCGAAUCUUUGAACGCACAUUGCGCCCUUUGGAAUUCCAAAGGGCAUGCCUGUUCGAGCGUCAUUUGUACCCUCAAGCUUUGCUUGGUGUUGGGCGUCUUGUCUCUAGCUUUGCUGGAGACUCGCCUUAAAGUAAUUGGCAGCCGGCCUACUGGUUUCGGAGCGCAGCACAAGUCGCACUCUCUAUCAGCAAAGGUCUAGCAUCCAUUAAGCCUUUUUUUCAACUUUUGACCUCGGAUCAGGUAGGGAUACCCGCUGAACUUAAGCAUAUCAAUAAGCGGAGGA